UUUUAAUAUGGGGGUAUUAAAGUAAAUAAAAAAAAAUAAUUAAAAUUUAUAGUUUAUUAGUAUUGUGAAAGAAUUUUUAAAAAAAAAUUAUUUAAAAGUAAUUUUAAUUUAAUGUAUCUUGUGUAUCAGAGUUUAUUAAUUUAUUAUAAAAAUUUAAAUUUUCUCGAAUUAAAAAGAGAUAAUUAAUUAAAAAAGUUAUUGUAACAUAAAUAUUUUUAAUAAUUAAUUUGAAAUGAAAUGUUAAUCGUUUUUUAAAAUAUCUAGUUUUUUUAGAAAAAAAUUUAAUUUUUAAUUAAUUAAAAUAAAAUUUAUAUAAAUUAAAUUUUAUUUUAAUUAAUUUAAUAAUUUAAGGGAUAAGCUUUAAAUUAAAAUGUUAUAAUUUAUUCAAAAAAAAAAUAAAAUUUUUAUUAUUUAUAUUGUAAAUAAAUUUUAAUAUAUUAUAAUUAAUUUUAUAAAAGAAAAUAUUUAAUUGAAUUUAAUUUUUUAUAAAAAAAUAUUUUUUAAUAAAUUAAAAUUAGAUAUAAUGAUAAAAUUAGUAUAAUAAUUAAAUUAUAAUAAAUGAUUUUUGUUAAUUAAUUUGAAGGAAUUCGGCAAAAUUUAUAUUCACUUGUUUAUCAAAAACAUGUCUUUUUGUUAAUAAUUUAAAGUCUAAUCUGCCCACUGAAUAAAUUUAAAGGGCUGCAGUAUUUUGACUGUACAAAGGUAGCAUAAUCAUUAGUCUCUUAAUUAGUGACUUGUAUGAAAGAUUGGAUGAAAUAUAAUCUGUCUCUUAAUUAUAAUAUUAGAAAUUAAUUUUUUAAUUAAAAAGUUAAAAUAAAUUAAAAAGACGAGAAGACCCUAUAGAGUUUUAUAAAUAGUUUAAUUAAAAAUAUUUAUAAAUUUAUUAUUUAAAAUUAAAUAAAUUAUUUUAUUGGGGUGAUAAAAAAAUUUAAAUAACUUUUUUUUUUAUUUAACAUAAAUAAGUGAGUUAUUGAUCCAUUAUUAUUGAUUAUAAGAAAAAAUUACCUUAGGGAUAACAGCGUAAUUUUUUUUUUUAGUACAAAUAAAAAAAAAAGUUUGCGACCUCGAUGUUGGAUUAAGAUUAAUUUUAAAUGCAAAAGUUUAAUAAAUUUGAUCUGUUCGAUCAUUAAAAUCUUACAUGAUCUGAGUUCAGACCGGCGUGAGCCAGGUUGGUUUCUAUCUUUUAAAUUAUAUAAUAUUUUAGUACGAAAGGAUCAGAUAUUAAAAUUAAAUUUAUUUUUUUUUUUGAAUAUUAUU
RNAcentral lists this ribosomal RNA (1257 nucleotides) under Trabala vishnou. RNAcentral's name for it is "16S ribosomal RNA". The stretch from base 1012 to 1171 matches the Rfam family "Archaeal large subunit ribosomal RNA", at positions 2544 to 2703 of the family's 2987-position model. Lineage: Eukaryota; Metazoa; Arthropoda; Insecta; Lepidoptera; Lasiocampidae. The record is from RNAcentral.